UUUUUUUUUAAUCCAUGAUCGAACUUUUUGAAAAUUUGUUAAUUUUUUUUUUAAUCCAUGAUCGAAUUUUUUGAAAAUUUGCUGUACUUUAUUUAUUUAUUUCUAUUUAUCCAUGAUCGAAUUUUUUGAAAAAUGAUGAUUUUCCGAAAAAAUGUGAAAAUCGUGAUAAAGUUUUGAUUAUCAUGAUGUAUUAAACCCAAUUUUUAAUUUUUAUUGUUUGAGUUUGCUGUAAUUUUUUUUUUUUUUUCAUGAUCGAAUUUUUUGAAAAAUGAUGAUUUUCCGAAAAGAUGUGAAAAUCGUGACAAGGUUUUAAUUAUCAUGAGGUAUUAAACUGUAUUUUAAAUUUUUAUUGUUAAAGUUUUUGUUGAAAAAAUUGUAUGUUGAUGGAUUAUUUAUGCAAAAAAAUGCAUGUUAUUAUAUUUUUAAUACAAAACUGUAUUUUUUUUAUCUGUUGUUCAUGGAUUUUUUAGUUGAAAUGACUGAUGUUAGCUGGCUCUUUGAAGAAUUGUUUUUAUUAUUAAUUUUUUAAUGCAAAAAAUGUAUGUUCUUGAUAAUUGAGUUGUAGCCAUGUUUGGAGCUUGCAUUUUGUAUUAUAUUAUUCUGAAUGUUUGUAAUUGAUAUGUACGAAAAUAUUAUUGUCAAAAAAGGUAUUUUGCAAUAACAAAUAACAACGAAUAUGACUACAUGAACUACCGCAACAUAUUAUCACUACACAUGGUGAUUAUUUUUCUUUUUGAACUGUCAGGUUAAUUUUAUACUUUUUACAUCUUAAAACAGUUGAAUCAUGUCAAGAUCUGCAGAAGACCCUGCAUGGCAACAUGGAAUCAAACUUGAUCCCAAC
This 841-nucleotide long non-coding RNA is filed under the name Amborella trichopoda. RNAcentral describes it as "long non-coding RNA (ATRI_LNC000761)". Lineage: Eukaryota; Viridiplantae; Streptophyta; Magnoliopsida; Amborellales; Amborellaceae. The record is from RNAcentral.